CUGCGCUCCAGUGUCUGCAGUUCUUCUUCUGUAAGAGUCUGCAGCAGGUCCCUGCAGGCAAACAGAAAAAUGCUGCCAUUCACUAACCAUAUUUGUAAAUGGAGUGCCAUGUUCUGCGGUUUGAUUUUGGCUGAGUUUGCCUUCUCCCACUGAGGAAGCAAGAGCAAGGGGUGAAGUCCAUUGCCAAUGGGAUGAGCUCACAGGCCCCUGGGAAGCUUCCUCGAUGAGCUUGACACCCUGCUGAGCUCCUUCCCAGAGGAUGGCACCCCACUGAUCCUCCUGGGAGACU
Anguilla anguilla (European eel) is the source of this 289-nucleotide long non-coding RNA. RefSeq lists it as uncharacterized. NCBI's taxonomy places the organism in Eukaryota, Metazoa, Chordata, Actinopteri, Anguilliformes, Anguillidae. The record is from RefSeq and is a predicted model, not a curated record. The transcript has 3 exons.